This 253-nucleotide ribosomal RNA is filed under the name uncultured bacterium. RNAcentral describes it as "partial 16S ribosomal RNA". It matches the Rfam family "Bacterial small subunit ribosomal RNA", at positions 524 to 776 of the family's 1533-position model. The record is from RNAcentral.
UACGGGGGGGGCAAGCGUUGUUCGGAAUUACUGGGCGUAAAGGGCUCGUAGGCGGCCAACUAAGUCGGACGUGAAAUCCCCAGGCUCAACCUGGGAACUGCGUCUGAUACUGGAUGGCUUGAAUCCGGGAGAGGGAUGCAGAAUUCCAGGUGUAGCGGUGAAAUGCGUAGAUAUCAGGAGGAACACCGGUGGCGAAGGCGCACAUCUGGCCCGAUACUGACGCUGAGGCGCGAAAGCUAGGGGAGCAAACGGG